CUAAAACCUCAACUUCGGAAGGGGUGUAUUUAUUAGAUAAAAAACCAAUGCCCUUCGGGGCUCCCUGGUGNUUCAUAAUAACUAAACGAAUCGCAUGGCCUUGCGCCGGCGAUGGUUCAUUCAAAUUUCUGCCCUAUCAACUUUCGAUGGUAGGAUAGUGGCCUACCAUGGUGGCAACGGGUAACGGGGAAUUAGGGUUCUAUUCCGGAGAGGGAGCCUGAGAAACGGCUACCACAUCCAAGGAAGGCAGCAGGCGCGCAAAUUACCCAAUCCCGACACGGGGAGGUAGUGACAAUAAAUACUGAUGUGGAGYUCUUUAGGGUUUCACAAUUGGAAUGAGAAAAAUCUAAACCACUUAAACRAGGAACAAUUGGAGGGCAAGUCUGGUGCCAGCAGCCGCGGUAAUUCCAGCUCCAAUAGCGUAUAUUAAAGUUGUUGCAGUUAAAAAGCUCGUAGUUGAACCUUGGGCCUGGCCGGCCGGUCCGCCUCACCGCGUGCACUGGUUCGGCCGGGCCUUUCCUCCUGGGGAACCGCAUGCCCUUUAYUGGGUGUGCCGGGGAAUCAGGACUUUUACUUUGAAAAAAUUAGAGUGUUCAAAGCAGGCAUUUGYUCGAAUACAUUAGCAUGGAAUAAUAGAAUAGGACGUUGUGGUUCUAUUUUUGUUGGUUUCU
This 671-nucleotide ribosomal RNA is filed under the name Placopsis aff. gelida Dillman 2014163. RNAcentral describes it as "SSU rRNA". It matches the Rfam family "Eukaryotic small subunit ribosomal RNA", at positions 175 to 866 of the family's 1831-position model. Lineage: Eukaryota; Fungi; Ascomycota; Lecanoromycetes; Trapeliales; Trapeliaceae. The record is from RNAcentral.